AACGAACGCUGGCGGCAUGCCUAACACAUGCAAGUCGAACGAGACCUUCGGGUCUAGUGGCGCACGGGUGCGUAACGCGUGGGAACCUGCCCUUAGGUUCGGAAUAACUCCCCGAAAGGGGUGCUAAUACCGGAUAAUGUCUUCGGACCAAAGAUUUAUCGCCUUUGGAUGGGCCCGCGUUGGAUUAGCUAGUUGGUAGGGUAAAAGCCUACCAAGGCGACGAUCCAUAGCUGGUCUGAGAGGAUGAUCAGCCACACUGGGACUGAGACACGGCCCAGACUCCUACGGGAGGCAGCAGUGGGGAAUAUUGGACAAUGGGCUAAAGCCUGAUCCAGCAAUGCCGGGUGAGUGAUGAAGGCCUUAGGGUUGUAAAGCUCUUUUACCCGGGAUGAUAAUGACAGUACCGGGAGAAUAAGCUCCGGCUAACUCCGUG
This 433-nucleotide ribosomal RNA is filed under the name uncultured bacterium. RNAcentral describes it as "partial 16S ribosomal RNA". It matches the Rfam family "Bacterial small subunit ribosomal RNA", at positions 29 to 507 of the family's 1533-position model. The record is from RNAcentral.